Molecule: ribosomal RNA, 481 nt
Filed under: uncultured bacterium
Lineage: Bacteria
Description: partial 16S ribosomal RNA
Rfam family: Bacterial small subunit ribosomal RNA
Source: RNAcentral
GACGAACGCUGGCGGCGUGCUUAACACAUGCAAGUCGAACGCUGAAGCUCAGCUUGCUGGGUGGAUGAGUGGCGAACGGGUGAGUAACACGUGAGUAACCUGCCCCCUUCUUUGGGAUAACGCCCGGAAACGGGUGCUAAUACUGGAUAUUCACUGAUCUUCGCAUGGGGGUUGGUGGAAAGGUUUUUUCUGGUGGGGGAUGGGCUCGCGGCCUAUCAGCUUGUUGGUGGGGUGAUGGCCUACCAAGGCUUUGACGGGUAGCCGGCCUGAGAGGGUGACCGGUAACAUUGGGACUGAGAUACGGCCCAGACUCCUACGGGAGGCAGCAGUGGGGAAUAUUGCACAAUGGGCGAAAGCCUGAUGCAGCGACGCCGCGUGAGGGAUGGAGGCCUUCGGGUUGUAAACCUCUUUCGCUCAUGGUCAAGCCGCAACAUUGGUUGUGGUGAGGGUAGUGGGUAAAGAAGCGCCGGCUAACUACGUG